UAACGUCUCAUCUUGGUGCUGAAAAAC
Molecule: non-coding RNA, 27 nt
Filed under: Bombyx mori (domestic silkworm)
Lineage: Eukaryota; Metazoa; Arthropoda; Insecta; Lepidoptera; Bombycidae
Source: RNAcentral